RNAcentral lists this ribosomal RNA (253 nucleotides) under uncultured bacterium. RNAcentral describes it as "partial 16S ribosomal RNA". It matches the Rfam family "Bacterial small subunit ribosomal RNA", at positions 524 to 776 of the family's 1533-position model. The record is from RNAcentral.
UACGGGGGGAGCAAGCGUUGUUCGGAUUUACUGGGCGUAAAGAGCGCGUAGGCGGUCCGAUAAGUCGGCUGUGAAAGUCAGGGGCUCAACCCUUGAAAGCCGGCCGAUACUGUCGGACUAGAGUCCGGAAGAGGCAAGUGGAAUUCCCGGUGUAGCGGUGAAAUGCGCAGAUAUCGGGAGGAACACCAAUGGCGAAGGCAGCUUGCUGGGACGGUACUGACGCUGAGGUGCGAAAGCGUGGGGAGCAAACAGG